GAUGAACGCUGGCGGCGUGCCUAACACAUGCAAGUCGAGCGGCAGCGAGGGGUGCUUGCACCCUGUCGGCGAGCGGCGGACGGCUGAGUAACGCGUGGGAACGUGCCCCAAAGUGAGGAAUAACUGCCCGAAAGGGUAGCUAAUACCGCAUAUUAUCUUCGGAUCAAAGGAUUUAUCCGCUUUGGGAGCGGCUCGCGUCGGAUUAGGUAGUUGGUGAGGUAAUGGCUCACCAAGCCGACGAUCCGUAGCUGGUCUGAGAGGAUGACCAGUCAGACUGGAACUGAGACACGGUCCAGACUCCUACGGGAGGCAGCAGUGAGGAAUCUUCCACAAUGGGCGAAAGCCUGAUGGAGCAACGCCGCGUGCAGGACGAAGGCCUUCGGGUUGUAAACUGCUUUUAUAAGUGAGGAAUAUGACGGUAACUUAUGAAUAAGGAUCGGCUAACUACGUG
This 451-nucleotide ribosomal RNA is filed under the name uncultured bacterium. RNAcentral describes it as "partial 16S ribosomal RNA". It matches the Rfam family "Bacterial small subunit ribosomal RNA", at positions 28 to 507 of the family's 1533-position model. The record is from RNAcentral.